GCCCCAAAUGAGAAAGCAGCCAGCUGACACCUGGAUUUCGGCCCACAGCGGAUGCCGCCAAACCUCGCUGUGCCUGGAAUCCACCCACGAAGCAGCACGAUAAUAAACAUGGAUGGUUUUGAGCUGUCAGCAGCAAGAUGGAGCUAACGCACGUAACUCUGAAGGCGAAUGAGUGUGUUACGGGAAACUGUGCUGGAGAUGCCUCUGCAGAAACCCCCGACCGUCUGCAGCCGCGGAGCAUGCUGACCACGGGAGGCUGGCGCAUCGCCUCACUGUCUGGCAGCAACACACUCGAUAAAUAAAAGCUGUGCGUGCCCCUUG
This is a non-coding RNA of Microcebus murinus (gray mouse lemur), 321 nucleotides long. The record is from RefSeq and is a predicted model, not a curated record. NCBI's taxonomy places the organism in Eukaryota, Metazoa, Chordata, Mammalia, Primates, Cheirogaleidae.